CUGCUGCCUCCCGUAGGAGUCUGGUCCGUGUCUCAGUACCAGUGUGGGGGGCCUUCCUCUCAGAACCCCUACGCAUCGUCGCCUCGGUGGGCCGUUACCCCGCCGACUAGCUAAUGCGCCGCAUGCCCAUCCGUGGCCGGGAUUGCUCCCUUUGGCGGCCUUGGGAUGCCCCAAGGCCGCGUUACGCGGUAUUAGACGGGGUUUCCCCCGCUUAUCCCCCUGCCACGGGCAGGUUGCAUACGUGUUACUCACCCGUGCGCCGGUCGCCGGCAACGG
This 276-nucleotide ribosomal RNA is filed under the name uncultured bacterium. RNAcentral describes it as "partial 16S ribosomal RNA". The record is from RNAcentral.